CCCUAUUAUGGUUAGCUAAUAAAAAGAAUUUAGAGUAGUAAUAGGUAUAUUCAGGAAACUCAAAAAAUUUGGCGGUAUUUAUUCUAAAUAGAGGAAUAUGUUUUUAAUCGAUAAUUCACGUUUAUUCAACCUGUAUUAAUUUAUUUUGUAUAUCUCCGUCUCAAAAAAUUUUUCAGAAAAGUAAUUUUAGAGUCUUAAAAAGAAAAAGUCAGGUCAAGGUGCAGAUUAUAUACAGGAAAAAAUGUAUUACAAUAAAAAUAUUUUUGGAAGUUUAAUGAAAUUAAAUGGAAAGUGGAUUUAUUAGUAAAUUAAUUUAAAUAAAAUUUAAUUGAAUAAGUAAAUAAAUAUGCACACAUCGCCC
This 361-nucleotide ribosomal RNA is filed under the name Lachesilla forcepeta. Its description in RNAcentral is "partial 12S rRNA". Lineage: Eukaryota; Metazoa; Arthropoda; Insecta; Psocodea; Lachesillidae. The record is from RNAcentral.